Molecule: ribosomal RNA, 472 nt
Filed under: uncultured bacterium
Lineage: Bacteria
Description: SSU rRNA
Rfam family: Bacterial small subunit ribosomal RNA
Source: RNAcentral
AGGAUGAACGCUGGCGGCGUGCCUAACACAUGCAAGUCGAACGUCCUGUCUCGCAAGAGGCAGGGAGUGGCGGACGGGUGAGUACCACGUGGGUCAUCUACCGUGAGGUGAGGAAUACCGGCGAGAAAUCGCCGACAAGACCGCAUAGGCUCGAUGCAAGUCGAGCAAAGCUCUUUCGAGAGAGGGAGCGCCACACGAGGAGCCUGCGCCCGAUUAGCUAGCUGGUGGAGUAACGGUUCACCAGGGCGACGAUCGGUAGCUGGUCUGAGAGGACGAUCAGCCACACUGGGAUUGAGAACGGCCCAGACUCCUACGGGGGGCAGCAGUGAGGAAUUUUCGCAAUGGGGGCAACCCUGAACGAGCAACGCCGCGUGCAGGAAGAGGUUUCGGAUCGUAAACUGCUUUUCUCGGGGAAGAGAAUGGACGGUACCCGAGGAAUCAGCCCGGCUAACUACGCGCCAGCAGCCGCGGU